Long non-coding RNA from Papaver somniferum (opium poppy), 1665 nucleotides. RefSeq lists it as uncharacterized. The record is from RefSeq and is a predicted model, not a curated record. The transcript is spliced from 2 exons. NCBI's taxonomy places the organism in Eukaryota, Viridiplantae, Streptophyta, Magnoliopsida, Ranunculales, Papaveraceae.
UUAGCCUCUUCUCUUACCAUAUUCAUCUCUUCUGUAUUACUAUCUUCUCCAUCUCUUCUAUGUUAUCAUCUACUCCAUCUGUUUUCUGUUACAAUCUUGCUAAAUAUUACUUUUAAAUGAUUGUUUCUUUCUUUUACAUCAACUAAAUGAUAAAUCUUUAUAAGGAACUAUAUGAGACUGUUAGGAACUAAAAGAGGAAACUUUGAUUGAACACAUAAGAGAAGAAAAAGUUGAUGUUUUUACAGAUAAGAUUAAGGUUUCAAUGAGAAUCGAUGAUGGAGAUAAAGAUCAUUAUUCUGAGAUUUAGAGAAAUGGAAAGGAAUCAGGGAUAGUUGAUGGUCAUGUUGUCGAUCCUUGUGUUGUUUCAAACUCAACAGAAAGGUAAGUUGAACUUAGGGUUUCUCUAAUUAACUUUAUUUUUGUGUGAAAUUGAUUUAUAGAUUGAUCAAUUAGUGAUGGGUUUGCUUUUAAUUGAAGUUUGGAUGACGUAUAGGGUUUAAUUUCAGUUUCUAUAAUGAAUGAAUUGGGAAUUAGGGUUUAUCCAAAGUUAGGUUUUUGGUUAUAAACUUAGACCAGUGUUUUUGAGUUUGAAUGAUAGAUAAAGAGGAGCGGAAGCUGAUACGGUCGAUAUGUAAUGCAGCUGUAGUUGUGGCUAGGGAUGUGUUGCAUGACAGGGAUGGAGUUGUUGGUUUUAUUGAUCCAUGAAUGGUUUGAAGUAAGAUGUAUGUUGUUACUAAGUGCCCUGAGCACACAUGGAUUUGUAGGCUAGGAAACACAUGCUCAAGGUUCUUGUAUAAGUCAUUAGCAUUACAUUUUCACUCAAGUACCAUCGAUUUAUCUGAAUCAAGGUGGUUGGGACCUUUGGAUGCUCAUAAUUUUUCUGCUGUUUUGCGUUUAUGCUUUAUCUUUGCAGUAAGACAUGCUUUAUUUUUCGAUACUGGAUAGUUCCCAUGCAAUCGUUCGUAUAGUUAGUAUUCUAUCAGAUUAAACUGUGUAUCCAUAGUAUUUGAUAACAUUUAUAACUUGGAUACUUGUGUAUUUUCUGCGUUUGGAACGGAUUGGACUUCUCUUUUUUUCUUGAUCGAGCUUUCGUUGAAAAAGUUAUACUUGCAUAUGACGGCCAUUAGCAUCGCUUUCCUUUACUGCAGCGAUGAAAUUUGAUUGGAGACCACUUGCUAUUGUUGCUGCUUUCAUGACUGCCAUUAGCAUUUCUUUCCUAAACAAUAGAUAUCAUCAUUUUUUGCUCUAGUUCUUUCAUUUCGUAUAUAGAAAUCAAACUGGAAGGGAGAGGACUUCACUUUUCAGAAUGGAAGAUGGAACAUUAGCUGUCUCUCUAAAGAUGGAAGAUGGAACAUUAGCUGGAAGGGAGAGGACUUCACUCUUCAGAAUGGAAGAUGGAACAUUAGUUGGUCUCUCUAAAGAUUCUUAAAUUGAGGCAUCUAUAUCUUAGGUUACAUUGUUUCCUUUCGUCAGUGGCUGUAUUUGAGCUUGUUUAUGUUUCUACCUGGUGCAACUUGGUGAUUUGAAUUCGGUGUUGGCCUUUGAGCACUCAUGUUGUGUUUAAAGUUCCCACUAAUAACUUUAGGAUGGAUGUAUCACAUGGAUAUCCUUCACAAUCUGAUAUUCCAUCUUUAAUUGAGGUAAAAUUCUUAUUGUUGUUGUUUU